RNAcentral lists this ribosomal RNA (253 nucleotides) under uncultured bacterium. Its description in RNAcentral is "partial 16S ribosomal RNA". It matches the Rfam family "Bacterial small subunit ribosomal RNA", at positions 524 to 776 of the family's 1533-position model. The record is from RNAcentral.
UACGUAGGUGACCAGCGUUGUCCGGAUUUACUGGGCGUAAAGAGCGCGCAGGCGGUCGUUCAAGUCGAGUGUGAAAGCCCCCGGCUCAACUGGGGAGGGUCACUCGAUACUGAUCGACUUGAAGGCAGGAGAGGGAAGCGGAAUUCCCAGUGUAGCGGUGAAAUGCGUAGAUAUUGGGAGGAACACCAGUGGCGAAGGCGGCUCACUGGACCGGUACUGACGCUGAUGCGCGAAAGCGUGGGGAGCAAACGGG